Molecule: ribosomal RNA, 450 nt
Filed under: uncultured bacterium
Lineage: Bacteria
Description: partial 16S ribosomal RNA
Rfam family: Bacterial small subunit ribosomal RNA
Source: RNAcentral
GUGGGGAAUCUUCCGCAAUGGACGAAAGUCUGACGGAGCAACGCCGCGUGAGUGAUGAAGGUUUUCGGAUCGUAAAGCUCUUUCGUUAGGGACGAACGUGCUCUUUGUGAAUAAUGAGGAGUAAUGACGGUACCUAAAUAAGAAGCCACGGCUAACUACGUGCCAGCAGCCGCGGUAAUACGUAGGUGGCAAGCGUUGUCCGGAAUUAUUGGGCGUAAAGCGCGCGCAGGCGGGAUAUCAAGUCUGUCUUAAAAGUGCGAGGCUCAACCUCGUGAGGGGACAGAAACUGGUAUUCUUGAGUGUCGGAGAGGAAAGUGGAAUUCCAAGUGUAGCGGUGAAAUGCGUAGAGAUGUGGAAGAACACCAGUGGCGAAGGCGACUUUCUGGACGAUGUCUGACGCUGAGAUGCGAAAGCCAGGGUAGCGAACGGGAUUAGAAACCCUUGUAGUCC